Molecule: ribosomal RNA, 1374 nt
Filed under: Curtobacterium flaccumfaciens
Lineage: Bacteria; Bacillati; Actinomycetota; Actinomycetes; Micrococcales; Microbacteriaceae
Description: bacterial SSU rRNA
Rfam family: Bacterial small subunit ribosomal RNA
Source: RNAcentral
AUGAUGCCCAGCUAUGCGUGAGGUGGAUAUAGUGGCGAACGGGUGAGUAACACGUGAGUAACCUGCCCCUGACUCUGGGAUAAGCGUUGGAAACGACGUCUAAUACUGGAUAUGAUCACUGGCCGCAUGGUCUGGUGGUGGAAAGAUUUUUUGGUUGGGGAUGGACUCGCGGCCUAUCAGCUUGUUGGUGAGGUAAUGGCUCACCAAGGCGACGACGGGUAGCCGGCCUGAGAGGGUGACCGGCCACACUGGGACUGAGACACGGCCCAGACUCCUACGGGAGGCAGCAGUGGGGAAUAUUGCACAAUGGGCGAAAGCCUGAUGCAGCAACGCCGCGUGAGGGAUGACGGCCUUCGGGUUGUAAACCUCUUUUAGUAGGGAAGAAGCGAAAGUGACGGUACCUGCAGAAAAAGCACCGGCUAACUACGUGCCAGCAGCCGCGGUAAUACGUAGGGUGCAAGCGUUGUCCGGAAUUAUUGGGCGUAAAGAGCUCGUAGGCGGUUUGUCGCGUCUGCUGUGAAAUCCCGAGGCUCAACCUCGGGCUUGCAGUGGGUACGGGCAGACUAGAGUGCGGUAGGGGAGAUUGGAAUUCCUGGUGUAGCGGUGGAAUGCGCAGAUAUCAGGAGGAACACCGAUGGCGAAGGCAGAUCUCUGGGCCGUAACUGACGCUGAGGAGCGAAAGCAUGGGGAGCGAACAGGAUUAGAUACCCUGGUAGUCCAUGCCGUAAACGUUGGGCGCUAGAUGUAGGGACCUUUCCACGGUUUCUGUGUCGUAGCUAACGCAUUAAGCGCCCCGCCUGGGGAGUACGGCCGCAAGGCUAAAACUCAAAGGAAUUGACGGGGGCCCGCACAAGCGGCGGAGCAUGCGGAUUAAUUCGAUGCAACGCGAAGAACCUUACCAAGGCUUGACAUACACCGGAAACGGCCAGAGAUGGUCGCCCCCUUGUGGUCGGUGUACAGGUGGUGCAUGGUUGUCGUCAGCUCGUGUCGUGAGAUGUUGGGUUAAGUCCCGCAACGAGCGCAACCCUCGUUCUAUGUUGCCAGCGGGUUAUGCCGGGGACUCAUAGGAGACUGCCGGGGUCAACUCGGAGGAAGGUGGGGAUGACGUCAAAUCAUCAUGCCCCUUAUGUCUUGGGCUUCACGCAUGCUACAAUGGCCGGUACAAAGGGCUGCGAUACCGUAAGGUGGAGCGAAUCCCAAAAAGCCGGUCUCAGUUCGGAUUGAGGUCUGCAACUCGACCUCAUGAAGUCGGAGUCGCUAGUAAUCGCAGAUCAGCAACGCUGCGGUGAAUACGUUCCCGGGCCUUGUACACACCGCCCGUCAAGUCAUGAAAGUCGGUAACUUCUCCGAAGCCGGUGGCCUAACCAUUGUGGA